RNAcentral lists this transfer RNA (77 nucleotides) under Amycolatopsis nalaikhensis. Its description in RNAcentral is "Amycolatopsis sp. 2-2 tRNA-Pro". It matches the Rfam family "tRNA". From Rfam's summary of the family: Transfer RNA (tRNA) molecules are approximately 80 nucleotides in length. Their secondary structure includes four short double-helical elements and three loops (D, anti-codon, and T loops). Further hydrogen bonds mediate the characteristic L-shaped molecular structure. tRNAs have two regions of fundamental functional importance: the anti-codon, which is responsible for specific mRNA codon recognition, and the 3' end, to which the tRNAs corresponding amino acid is attached (by aminoacyl-tRNA synthetases). tRNAs cope with the degeneracy of the genetic code in two manners: having more than one tRNA (with a specific anti-codon) for a particular amino acid; and 'wobble' base-pairing, i.e. permitting non-standard base-pairing at the 3rd anti-codon position. Lineage: Bacteria; Bacillati; Actinomycetota; Actinomycetes; Pseudonocardiales; Pseudonocardiaceae. RNAcentral also lists the same sequence under 1 other name. The record is from RNAcentral.
CGGGAUGUGGCGCAGCUUGGUAGCGCAUUCGCUUUGGGAGCGGAGGGUCGCAGGUUCGAAUCCUGUCAUCCCGACCA